This 588-nucleotide ribosomal RNA is filed under the name Neofusicoccum vitifusiforme. RNAcentral's name for it is "eukaryotic LSU rRNA". The stretch from base 218 to 371 matches the Rfam family "5.8S ribosomal RNA". The record is from RNAcentral. Lineage: Eukaryota; Fungi; Ascomycota; Dothideomycetes; Botryosphaeriales; Botryosphaeriaceae.
AACAAGGUUUCCGUAGGUGAACCUGCGGAAGGAUCAUUACCGAGUUGAUUCGAGCUCCGGCUCGACUCUCCCACCCAAUGUGUACCUACCUCUGUUGCUUUGGCGGGCCGCGGUCCUCCGCACCGGCGCCCUUCGGGGGGCUGGCCAGCGCCCGCCAGAGGACCAUAAAACUCCAGUCAGUGAACUUCGCAGUCUGAAAAACAAGUUAAUAAACUAAAACUUUCAACAACGGAUCUCUUGGUUCUGGCAUCGAUGAAGAACGCAGCGAAAUGCGAUAAGUAAUGUGAAUUGCAGAAUUCAGUGAAUCAUCGAAUCUUUGAACGCACAUUGCGCCCCUUGGUAUUCCGAGGGGCAUGCCUGUUCGAGCGUCAUUUCAACCCUCAAGCUCUGCUUGGUAUUGGGCCCCGUCCUCCACGGACGCGCCUUAAAGACCUCGGCGGUGGCGUCUUGCCUCAAGCGUAGUAGAAAACACCUCGCUUUGGAGCGCACGGCGUCGCCCGCCGGACGAACCUUUGAAUUAUUUCUCAAGGUUGACCUCGGAUCAGGUAGGGAUACCCGCUGAACUUAAGCAUAUCAAUAAGCGGAGGA